Molecule: long non-coding RNA, 2159 nt
Organism: Diorhabda carinulata
Lineage: Eukaryota; Metazoa; Arthropoda; Insecta; Coleoptera; Chrysomelidae
Exons: 4
Source: RefSeq, a predicted model, not a curated record
AUUAUUAGGAAUUUGGUUCGUCUCGGUUGGUUACUAUGCAAUACCAGUGAGCGAAGAAAACAGUCGCUGCUAAGCAGUCUUGAAUUGUGGUGUAUGUUCUUGUGACAUGGAAUUUCUACCCUAUAAAAGACAACUACGCAAUUUCCGUUGGAAUAUUUGUUACGGGAAAGAAAAGAAUUGGUGAUAUCUGCUCUAGUUGAUGGACCGACAUCGACAGUAUCCUUUAUUUUGUUGCUGUUCCUCACCUGCCACCUUAGAAAACGAGCACUCUUUGUAUUCCGCUUCUUACUUGACUCGUGCCUCAACUGGCAAACAGGAUCGGACUAGCAGAUAAGAAAAGGUAAGGUAAUUGGCCCAACAAACACAAAAAUAUAUUUAUUUUUUCACGUCAUCUCCUUUUAGCUCCAAUAAAGUUCGAUACUCUUUUUAUAAUAAGAAUGGUUGAGCUCCUCAAAAUAGCCAUUAACUUCAGACAUCACCUCUUAAUUGUCGUCUGAAGGCUACCGUCCCAAGUCUAGGAACGUAAAAUAACUCGAGGGGACUAAAUCUGGUAAAUAUAUACCGAUUUUCCUCAGUUUUUUCAGAGAUUUUUCUACAAAACUUCUUGCGCUAUUACAUCGCUUUCAUUUGAGGUUUAAAUCCCACGUUACAAAAGUUUUCGCGCUCGCAUUUUAAUAUCCUAAUUGUGCUGACCUUAAGAAGUGACGUUUGGUGAUGUACUAAGUUGGGGCCGCCAGUUUACAAGGUGAAAUAACGCGCACCUUAUCGAUCCUGUUUUUUGUAGGCAGCUCCAAGUCUAUUAGUUCUUAUUAUCCUUUUCAUUAAAUUAAUGCUCGAAUUAACAUGAAAAUGUUAUACUUGUCAUUUAAAACUAAUCAGAUGCAUCAAAUUUGACGGGUUUCCACUACAGAUUCUUAUCUAAUUGAGUAUUUUCUUUCUUCAAAAAAUACCAAAAAUUUGUUGAUUUUGAUUUCCCGUACGGUAUUGUACGUUAUGUACCUCAACUUUAAUUUUUUCCAAACUAUCUCUUCGGACAAAUGAAAUUUUAAGAAGCUUUCAAAACGUUUCAUUAUUUUUAUUCAAAUAAGACGAAAUCGAAUCCUUUUGUGGUAAAAUCGAGUCAACACGAUGGACAUUUUACACUAGGGAAUCGGUUCUUUCGCGACUGAUUUGUUUCAUGGAUCGAGGGGACUUAACCUAUACCUAUACCAUAAAAACCAUAUAUUUUCCGUAUGUCUUCGUUUCUUCAUAUUUCAAAUUCAAUUUCUUUAUUUUUUCUUUAUGGCGGAAAACAUCAUAAUUGAGAAAACAUGAAGAUAUCUUAUGAUGUCUGAACUAAAUACGAAUACAGCAACAGUAUAGAAUCCUACAGCUUUUUUAUUGAUUUAUAAUGUCCGCGUUUUUGUUAUAGAUUGGAUAAAAAUGAUUGUUCUGUAAAUAAAUUUUAGAUUACGAGGUCUGGCUAUUAAAUAACGAGCCUAGAGGGCGCCCUAGACGGGUGGGGUAUCUAAAUAUCUUGUCUAUGCACGUCCCAAUCUCAAAUUUCUCGUUAAAUUAAAAAAAAAAUCCGGCUGAGUGCUAUAAAUUGUUGCAAGAGGCCUAUGGGGACAAUUAUCUAUCUAGUGCGCGUGUUUUUGAGUGGUGUAAACGCUUUAGUGAUGGCCGAGAGUGCACUGAAGAUCAUCACUGUUUUAACUCCGGAAACAUUGACCAAAAUCAACCAAAUUAGAUCGUGUAGAUCGUCGAAGUUGGUGCCUAAAAUCUGACUCCUGACCAAAAGCUCUUGCUUCAACGGGAAUGCUCAGAUUUCCUUAAAAGGUUGGAAAAAAAUCUGCUUUGAAAAGGGACGCGAUUUGAGUCGAUGGAAGCGGUAAAGCAAAAAACGGCAGAACUCCUGAAGGUCCUCACCAAAGAAGACUUCCAGCACUGCUUCGAUCAAUGGAAAAAACGUUUGGAAAGGUGUGUGUGGCGAGGGGAUGGGAGUUUAUUGAAGGGGGGCAUUAGAAUGUAGAAUUAUUUUUAUAAUAAAACCCUUUUUCGUUACGAGUCUAGUUAUUUAAUAGCCAGUCUUCGUAAAUCCAUUUUCGUAAUUUAUUAUAAAAACUUUUACAUUUCAAUUCAACUGGGAAAAGUACAAUUUUUGAACAUUCAAGAACAAA